AUCCUUUUGUAGUUCAUAAGCGUGAUGAUUGGGUUUUCACGCGCACGCAUGAGAUGUGCCUUCCUCAAACCUUGUUAUGACGUUGGCACAUUACUUGUCUGACA
RNAcentral lists this small nucleolar RNA (104 nucleotides) under Propithecus coquereli (Coquerel's sifaka). Its description in RNAcentral is "Small nucleolar RNA U13 (ENSPCOG00000011309.1)". It matches the Rfam family "Small nucleolar RNA U13". The record is from Rfam by way of RNAcentral. Lineage: Eukaryota; Metazoa; Chordata; Mammalia; Primates; Indriidae.